AAAAAAAGAAGAAGAUAAA
This 19-nucleotide small RNA is filed under the name Arabidopsis thaliana (thale cress). Its description in RNAcentral is "ATSL053840". The record is from RNAcentral. Lineage: Eukaryota; Viridiplantae; Streptophyta; Magnoliopsida; Brassicales; Brassicaceae.